RNAcentral lists this long non-coding RNA (236 nucleotides) under Mytilus galloprovincialis (Mediterranean mussel). Lineage: Eukaryota; Metazoa; Mollusca; Bivalvia; Mytilida; Mytilidae. The record is from RNAcentral.
GUUUGUGAUUGACUUACAUAUUUGUUUUUCGUUCAUUUUUUUUACAUAAAUAAGGCCGUUAGUUUUCUCGUUUGAAUUGUUUUACAUUGUCUUAUCGGGGCCUUUUAUAGCUGACUAUGCGGUAUGAGCUUUGCUCAUGUUGAAGGCCGUACGGUGACCUAUAGUUGUUAAUGUCUGUGUCAUUUUGGUCUUUUGUGGAUAGUUGUCUCAUUGGCAAUCAUACCACAUCUUCUUUU